Molecule: unclassified non-coding RNA, 238 nt
Filed under: rhizosphere metagenome
Description: partial ribosomal RNA internal transcribed spacer region
Source: RNAcentral
GUAGGUGAACCUGCGGAAGGAUCAUUACUGAAGACCAUAGAGUUUUGAGACUGCGUUCAAAUGAUCGCGUGCUCGACUCUUACUCUUUAUCCACACACACCUCUGUGCACCAUGGGACGAAACUGUAACCGGGAGUAGUCCCCUUUUAUAUAAACACGAGUUAUUAUAUGCAUGUUAUUUUAAUGCUCUACGGAGUAAUAAUAAUGUACAACUUUCAACAACGGAUCUCUUGGCUUUC